RNAcentral lists this non-coding RNA (184 nucleotides) under Chromatiales bacterium. RNAcentral describes it as "6S RNA". It matches the Rfam family "6S / SsrS RNA". Rfam says of the family: E. coli 6S RNA was the first non coding RNA to be sequenced, but its function was unknown until recently. The record is from RNAcentral. Lineage: Bacteria; Pseudomonadati; Pseudomonadota; Gammaproteobacteria; Chromatiales.
CGUCCCCUGCAGUGUUCGUUAGCCGCCUGGGUAUUUUCUUGAGCCUAAUCUAUACCCUGGGAGCAUAAUGCCGGUGCUGGUGUGCAUGUCCGCUCCGAGCGGAAAGCCUGAAGCACCCCUGUUGUUCCCCCUUGAACCCACUGGUUCAAGAACAAAGGCCGGCGACGGCACAGGUGGGGGGCGU